Molecule: ribosomal RNA, 254 nt
Filed under: uncultured bacterium
Lineage: Bacteria
Description: partial 16S ribosomal RNA
Rfam family: Bacterial small subunit ribosomal RNA
Source: RNAcentral
UACGGAGGGGGCGAGCGUUAUUCGGAAUUAUUGGGCGUAAAGGGCGCGUAGGCGGCUUGUCGCGUCGACUGUGAAAACCCGUGGCUCAACCAUGUGGUCUGCAGUCGAUACGGGCAGGCUAGAAUUCGGUAGGGGAGACUGGAAUUCCUGGUGUAGCGGUGAAAUGCGCAGAUAUCAGGAGGAACACCGGUGGCGAAGGCGGGUCUCUGGGCCGAUAUUGACGCUGAGGAGCGAAAGCGUGGGGAGCGAACAGG